Molecule: ribosomal RNA, 253 nt
Filed under: uncultured bacterium
Lineage: Bacteria
Description: partial 16S ribosomal RNA
Rfam family: Bacterial small subunit ribosomal RNA
Source: RNAcentral
UACGUAGGGACCAAGCGUUGUUCGGAUUUACUGGGCGUAAAGGGUGCGUAGGAGGGCAGGUAAGUCAGUGGUGAAAUCUCCAAGCUUAACUUGGAAACUGCCGUUGAUACUAUCUGUCUUGAAUACCGUGGAGGUGAGCGGAAUAUGUCAUGUAGCGGUGAAAUGCUUAGAUAUGACAUAGAACACCAAUUGCGAAGGCAGCUCGCUACACGAAUAUUGACUCUGAGGCACGAAAGCGUGGGGAUCAAACAGG